GUCGAACGAAGCACUUUAUUUGAUUUCCUUCGGGACUGAUUAUUUUGUCACUGAGUGGCGGACGGGUGAGUAACGCGUGGGUAACCUGCCUUGUACAGGGGGAUAACAGUUGGAAACGGCUGCUAAUACCGCAUAAGCGCACAGCAUCGCAUGAUGCAGUGUGAAAAACUCCGGUGGUAUAAGAUGGACCCGCGUUGGAUUAGCUAGUUGGUGAGGUAACGGCCCACCAAGGCGACGAUCCAUAGCCGACCUGAGAGGGUGACCGGCCACAUUGGGACUGAGACACGGCCCAAACUCCUACGGGAGGCAGCAGUGGGGAAUAUUGCACAAUGGGCGAAAGCCUGAUGCAGCGACGCCGCGUGAGCGAAGAAGUAUUUCGGUAUGUAAAGCUCUAUCAGCAGGGAAGAUAAUGACGGUACCUGACUAAGAAGCACCGGCUAAAUACGUGCCAGCAGCCGCGGUAAUACGUAUGGUGCAAGCGUUAUCCGGAUUUACUGGGUGUAAAGGGAGCGCAGGCGGUGCGGCAAGUCUGAUGUGAAAGCCCGGGGCUCAACCCCGGUACUGCAUUGGAAACUGUCGUACUGGAGUGUCGGAGGGGUAAGCGGAAUUCCUAGUGUAGCGGUGAAAUGCGUAGAUAUUAGGAGGAACACCAGUGGCGGAGGCGGCUUACUGGACGAUAACUGACGCUGAGGCUCGAAAGCGUGGGGAGCAAACAGGAUUAGAUACCCUGGUAGUCCACGCCGUAAGCGAUGAAUAC
Molecule: ribosomal RNA, 757 nt
Filed under: uncultured bacterium
Lineage: Bacteria
Description: bacterial SSU rRNA
Rfam family: Bacterial small subunit ribosomal RNA
Source: RNAcentral